UACGUAGGGUGCGAGCGUUAAUCGGAAUUACUGGGCGUAAAGCGUGCGCAGGCGGUUCGUUGUGUCGGUGGUGAAAGCCCCGGGCUUAACCUGGGAAUGGCCAUGGAAACUGGCGAACUGGAGUGUGGCAGAGGGGGGUGGAAUUCCCCGUGUAGCAGUGAAAUGCGUAGAGAUGCGGAGGAACACCGAUGGCGAAGGCAGCCCCCUGGGCUAACACUGACGCUCAGGCACGAAAGCGUGGGGAGCAAACAGG
This 253-nucleotide ribosomal RNA is filed under the name uncultured bacterium. RNAcentral's name for it is "partial 16S ribosomal RNA". It matches the Rfam family "Bacterial small subunit ribosomal RNA", at positions 524 to 776 of the family's 1533-position model. The record is from RNAcentral.